This 1339-nucleotide long non-coding RNA is filed under the name Anser brachyrhynchus (Pink-footed goose). RNAcentral's name for it is "lncRNA (ENSABRG00000016254.1)". The record is from RNAcentral. Lineage: Eukaryota; Metazoa; Chordata; Aves; Anseriformes; Anatidae.
UAUUGUAAAGCGCUGGGUUCUAGGUAUGCUAAAUUUCAGAGGUCUCUCUUUAAAUGACUACAAAUGGACUUGUAACUGCCCCUGGGAGGCACAAAAAUAUCAAGUCAGUUUAGUCAAUGUGUAGUUGGUUUUUUUUUACCAUUCAAUGUAGUUGACUUUUAAAUGCCAGCUUGGCUUUAUGGCAAAGGCACUGAUACAACAUCCAGUUCCUGUGUCACAUGCAGCACUAGAGGGCAGAGCUAACAGCUAAUGAGAAAUUAAGGAUGCCUUAAGGUCAAGGGAACGUAUGUUAUAAAGCAGUUAAAUAAAAUCAUAGGAAACAGCUGGUGAACCAGGCUGAGACACAAAAGCCAAAAUAUGAGGUGACUGGUAAAAUGAAUGGCAAAUUAAUUGCAUGCCAUGCUGGAAGCAUGACAAAUAUUACAACCAUGGCCUUGGAUAUCCCCUCAGACCCUGAUUGAGAGCAUUUGCAGCUCUGAGAGACACUUUCCAGCUUUCUGCACACUCACUUCUAGUGUAUUUACUAGCUUCUGUUUGCAAAUGGAAGGACUAAACAUGUCACUCUGUGAAAUAAAGCUGAGGUGCUGGAGCACAGCUCUGCUGCAGGAAGAGAACGUCCUGGAAUGUGCCACAUGCUGGGGAAAGUGACCUGAGAGGCAGCAUCCUGUAAAUUUGUCAGGAUCAGACUCUUCCUGCCUGCUAUUUUCCAUGGGCUUGAUGCCAUGGGUCUCGCAGAUGACUGUAAAGUACUGAAGGUGGGAGUGGAUAGAGGUGUUUGGGGAUCUUUGAUGAAUGCUGGAGUUCCAGUGUUUUUUGUCGGCCCAAGAGUGCAGAGAGUUAUGAGCCAUGCACUCCUUCACAUCUGCACCAUGGAGACUAAGCACAGCUUGCAUGGUCAAGAGGCCUUCGUUCUAAGUCAGCUUUUGGGGGCUAGAAGCUUGAAUACAGCUGCAGAACAAGUUUGGAUCCCCAUAUACAAUGGAAACCCAGAGGAUAUUGUCCUUUCCCACAAUUACUUUGGCCAAACUCAUGGGGACAGCAAAGAGCCAACAAAGUCAUCAGCCCUAUGACAAGUAUCAAGGAAAACUGGAACUACUGCUGUGGUCAAGUCAAGUCUCUAUUAAUGUCUGUGUCUUGCUGUAACUACUUACUCAGUUUCUUGGAAUUUCUUUGCUAUCUUACUUAAAGUAUGUAGAUUCAACAUCUUCUCUUCUUUUUGUGUCCACUGAUUUUUAAAACAGGUAUAAAAAGUAUUGGUAUACCGGAGGGUUAAAAACAUAUUUUAUGCCAUCAGCUAAGUCACCAGUAAAAGAAAUAAAAAAAAUCAAAGAAAGCUACA